AUUGAACGCUGGCGGCAGGCCUAACACAUGCAAGUCGAGCGGAUGAAGGGAGCUUGCUCCUGGAUUCAGCGGCGGAUGGGUGAGUAAUGCCUAGGAAUCUGCCUGGUAGUGGGGGGUAACGUCCGGAAACGGGCGCUAAUACCGCAUACGUCCUGAGGGAGAAAGUGGGGGAUCUUCGGACCUCACGCUAUCAGAUGAGCCUAGGUCGGAUUAGCUAGUUGGUGGGGUAAAGGCCUACCAAGGCGACGAUCCGUAACUGGUCUGAGAGGAUGAUCAGUCACACUGGAACUGAGACGCGGUCCAGACUCCUACGGGAGGCAGCAGUGGGGAAUAUUGGACAAUGGGCGAAAGCCUGAUCCAGCCAUGCCGCGUGUGUGAAGAAGGUCUUCGGAUUGUAAAGCACUUUAAGUUGGGAGGAAGGGCAGUAAGUUAAUACCUUGCUGUUUUGACGUUACCAACAGAAUAAGCACCGGCUAACUUCGUG
RNAcentral lists this ribosomal RNA (484 nucleotides) under uncultured bacterium. Its description in RNAcentral is "partial 16S ribosomal RNA". It matches the Rfam family "Bacterial small subunit ribosomal RNA", at positions 30 to 507 of the family's 1533-position model. The record is from RNAcentral.